This 90-nucleotide transfer RNA is filed under the name Yersinia phage fHe-Yen9-04. RNAcentral describes it as "tRNA-Ser-TGA". It matches the Rfam family "tRNA". Rfam says of the family: Transfer RNA (tRNA) molecules are approximately 80 nucleotides in length. Their secondary structure includes four short double-helical elements and three loops (D, anti-codon, and T loops). Further hydrogen bonds mediate the characteristic L-shaped molecular structure. tRNAs have two regions of fundamental functional importance: the anti-codon, which is responsible for specific mRNA codon recognition, and the 3' end, to which the tRNAs corresponding amino acid is attached (by aminoacyl-tRNA synthetases). tRNAs cope with the degeneracy of the genetic code in two manners: having more than one tRNA (with a specific anti-codon) for a particular amino acid; and 'wobble' base-pairing, i.e. permitting non-standard base-pairing at the 3rd anti-codon position. RNAcentral also lists the same sequence under 1 other name. Lineage: Duplodnaviria; Heunggongvirae; Uroviricota; Caudoviricetes. The record is from RNAcentral.
GGAAGAUUGGCAGAGUUUGGUUUAUUGCACAGGUCUUGAGUACCUGCGGGGGUUAAUAGCCCUCCGUGAGUUCGAAUCUCACAUCUUCCU